GGAGAAAUGACCGAGUGAUUGAAGGUGCCUGACUCGAAAUCAGGUGAACGUCUUAUAGGUGUUCCGAGGGUUUGAAUCCCUCUUUCUCCGCCA
Molecule: transfer RNA, 93 nt
Filed under: Clostridium aestuarii
Lineage: Bacteria; Bacillati; Bacillota; Clostridia; Eubacteriales; Clostridiaceae
Description: tRNA-Ser
Rfam family: tRNA
About the family: Transfer RNA (tRNA) molecules are approximately 80 nucleotides in length. Their secondary structure includes four short double-helical elements and three loops (D, anti-codon, and T loops).
Source: RNAcentral